Lupinus angustifolius (narrow-leaved blue lupine) is the source of this 106-nucleotide non-coding RNA. The record is from Rfam. NCBI's taxonomy places the organism in Eukaryota, Viridiplantae, Streptophyta, Magnoliopsida, Fabales, Fabaceae.
UUAUCCUUUUAGUUAACUUGGUUGGAAAUUGGAACGACACAGAGAAGAUUAGCAUGACCCAUGCGUAAGGAUGACACACACAAAUAAAAAAAUGAUCCACAUUUAA